GACAGAGGUGCCAAGCGUUAGGCGGAAUCACUGGGCUUAAAGCGUGUGUAGGCGGACCGUUAAGUGCCUUGUGAAAUCCCACGGCUCAACCGUGGAACUGCUGGGCAUACUGGCGGUCUUGAGUCACUCAGGGGUUGCCGGAACAAAUGGUGGAGCGGUGAAAUGCGUAGAUAUCAUUUGGAACGCCAAUGGCGAAAGCAGGCAACUGGGGGUGAUCUGACGCUGAGACACGAAAGCCAGGGGAGCGAACGGG
This 253-nucleotide ribosomal RNA is filed under the name uncultured bacterium. RNAcentral's name for it is "partial 16S ribosomal RNA". It matches the Rfam family "Bacterial small subunit ribosomal RNA", at positions 524 to 776 of the family's 1533-position model. The record is from RNAcentral.